UAAUACGGAGGAUGCGAGCGUUAUCCGGAUUUAUUGGGUUUAAAGGGUGCGUAGGCGGAAAAAUAAGUCAGUGGUGAAAACCUUCAGCUUAACUGGAGACUUGCCAUUGAUACUGUUAUUCUUGAGUAUAGUUAAGGUAGGCGGAAUGUGUAAUGUAGCGGUGAAAUGCUUAGAUAUUACACAGAACACCAAUUGCGAAGGCAGCUUACUGAGCUAUAACUGACGCUGAUGCACGAAAGCGUGGGGAGCGAACAGGAUUAGAUACCCUGGUAGUCCACGCCGUAAACGAUGAUCACUCGCUGUUGGCGAUACACAGUCAGCGGCUAAGCAAAAGCAUUAAGUGAUCCACCUGGGGAGUACGGCCGCAAGGCUGAAACUCAAAGGAAUUGACGG
This 393-nucleotide ribosomal RNA is filed under the name bacterium enrichment culture. RNAcentral's name for it is "bacterial SSU rRNA". It matches the Rfam family "Bacterial small subunit ribosomal RNA", at positions 521 to 916 of the family's 1533-position model. The record is from RNAcentral.